Molecule: ribosomal RNA, 1306 nt
Filed under: uncultured bacterium
Lineage: Bacteria
Description: bacterial SSU rRNA
Rfam family: Bacterial small subunit ribosomal RNA
Source: RNAcentral
AACGUACGCUGGCGGCACGCCUAACACAUGCAAGUCGAACGAAGUAGCAAUACUUAGUGGCAGACGGGUGAGUAACAUGUAGGUAUCUGCCCUUUGGCCUGGAAUAACACGAGGAAACUUGUGCUAAUACCGGAUAAGUCUUUACGGAGAAAGCUUUAUGCACCAUUGGAUGAGCCUGCACUUGAUUAGUUUGUUGGUGGGGUAAUGGCCUACCAAGACUGUGAUCAAUAGCUGAUUUGAGAGGAUGAUCAGCCACAUUGGGACUGAGACACGGCCCAAACUCCUACGGGAGGCAGCAGUGGGGAAUCUUGCACAAUGGAGGAAACUCUGAUGCAGCGAUGCCGCGUGAGUGAAGAAGGCCCUUGGGUUGUAAAGCUCUUUCGUCGGGGAAGAAAAUGACUGUACCCGAAUAAGAAGGUCCGGCUAACUUCGUGCCAGCAGCCGCGGUAAUACGAAGGGACCUAGCGUAGUUCGGAAUUACUGGGCUUAAAGAGUUCGUAGGUGGUUGAAAAAGUUAGUGGUGAAAUCCCAGAGCUUAACUCUGGAACUGCCAUUAAAACUUUUCAGCUAGAGUAUGAUAGAGGAAAGCAGAAUUUCUAGUGUAGAGGUGAAAUUCGUAGAUAUUAGAAAGAAUACCAAUUGCGAAGGCAGCUUUCUGGAUCAUUACUGACACUGAGGAACGAAAGCAUGGGUAGCGAAGAGGAUUAGAUACCCUCGUAGUCCAUGCCGUAAACGAUGUGUGUUAGACGUUGGAAAUUUAUUUUCAGUGUCGCAGCGAAAGCGAUAAACACACCGCCUGGGGAGUACGACCGCAAGGUUAAAACUCAAAUGAAUUGACGGGGACCCGCACAAGUAGUGGAGCAUGUGGUUUAAUUCGAAGAUACGCGCAGAACCUUACCAACACUUGACAUGUUCGUCGCGACUCUAAGAGAUUAGAGUUUUCGGUUCGGCCGGACGAAACACAGGUGCUGCAUGGCUGUCGUCAGCUCGUGUCGUGAGAUGUUGGGUUAAGUCCCGCAACGAGCGCAACCCUCACUUUUAGUUGCCAUCAUUUAGUUGGGCACUCUGAAAGAACUGCCAGUGAUAAGCUGGAGGAAGGUGGGGAUGACGUCAAGUCCUCAUGGCCCUUACGUGUUGGGCUACGCACGUGCUACAAUGGUAUCUACAACAGGAAGCAAGACUGCGAAGUUAAGCAAAUCCCUAAAAGAUACCUCAGUUCGGAUUGCACUCUGCAACUCGAGUGCAUGAAGCUGGAAUUACUAGUAAUCGUGGAUCAGCGUGCCACGGUGAAUGCGUUCCCGGGUCU